CCGCGCCGGAGAGGCCCGCAGGACCGCCGAGCCCACACUCCGCUCCCGCCCGGGCCCCGCUCCCCCGCGCCGCCUUGGUACGCUCCGGCCACGCCCCCUCGGACGCGCUUGGUACGCGCCGGGCUCCCCCGCUCGCCUCAGUGGUUCGGCCGCGGCGACCCCACUCCGGCGGCGCGUCCCCCGAGCUUGGAAGGUGCUCGGGUCUUCGGGGCACUGGGUCCCAUCGGUCCCUCCUCACCUGGGCUCACCCUCGGGGGUCUGGCCGUGAGCGAGCACCGGCUCAGCAACAAGCUGCUGGCUUGGAGCGGCGUCCUCGAGUGGCAGGAGAAGCGCAGACCCUACUCUGACUCCACUGCAAAGCUGAAGCGGACCCUGCCCUGCCAAGCCUACGUGAACCAAGGCGAGAACCUGGAGACCGACCAGUGGCCGCAGAAGCUGAUCAUGCAGCUGAUCCCGCAGCAGCUGCUGACCACCCUGGGCCCCCUGUUCCGGAACUCCCAGUUGGCACAGUUCCACUUCACCAACAGAGACUGCGACUCGCUCAAGGGGCUCUGCCGCAUCAUGGGCAACGGCUUCGCGGGCUGCAUGCUGUUCCCCCACAUCUCCCCCUGUGAGGUGCGCGUGCUCAUGCUCCUGUACUCGUCCAAGAAGAAGAUCUUCAUGGGCCUCAUCCCCUACGACCAGAGCGGCUUCGUCAGUGCCAUCCGGCAGGUCAUCACCACCCGCAAGCAGGCAGUGGGACCUGGUGGUGUCAACUCAGGCCCAGUCCAGAUCGUCAACAACAAGUUUCUGGCAUGGAGUGGCGUCAUGGAGUGGCAGGAGCCCAGGCCUGAGCCCAACAGUCGGUCCAAGAGGUGGCUGCCAUCCCACGUCUACGUGAACCAGGGGGAGAUCCUGUGAGUGCUGGGCUGGGGGGUGGAGGCAGCAUCCAGGGGAGCUGGGGCUUCCUGACCCUCGUCCCUUUGUGCCCCACAGGAGGACCGAGCAGUGGCCAAGGAAGCUGUACAUGCAGCUCAUCCCGCAGCAGCUGCUGACCACCCUAGUGCCGCUGUUCCGGAACUCGCGCCUGGUCCAGUUCCACUUCACCAAGGACCUGGAGACACUGAAGAGCCUGUGCCGGAUCAUGGACAAUGGCUUCGCCGGCUGCGUGCACUUUUCCUACAAAGCAUCGUGUGAGAUCCGCGUGCUUAUGCUCCUGUACUCUUCGGAGAAGAAAAUCUUCAUUGGCCUCAUCCCCCAUGACCAGGGCAACUUUGUCAACGGCAUCCGGCGUGUCAUUGCCAACCAGCAGCAGGUCCUGCAGCGGAACCUGGAGCAGGAGCAGCAGCAACGAGGGAUGGGGGGGUAGUGGUUACCCCGGGCUGGGCCUCUCCAGGAGUCACAGAUGAGGCCCCCGCAGAGACUGGUGACAUGCUUCUGAGCAGGGGCCCCUGGGGACUUCAACUGCCCAGCAACAUGGAGGAUGGUGUCCUGAGGCCUCCAAGGACGGUCCCCACCCCUCUACGUUUCCCCAAUAA
This 1517-nucleotide small RNA is filed under the name Pan troglodytes (chimpanzee). RNAcentral's name for it is "processed transcript". Lineage: Eukaryota; Metazoa; Chordata; Mammalia; Primates; Hominidae. The record is from RNAcentral.